AUACGUCUUGCAAUUGGAUUGAGAACAAUGUACAACUCUUAUCGAUAAGCCAUUGGAGGGCAAGUCUGGUGCCAGCAGCCGCGGUAAUUCCAGCUCCAAUAGCGUAUAUUAACGUUGUUGCAGUUAAAAAGCUCGUAGUUGAAGUGUGGGUGAUCGCUGUUGUGAGACUUCGGUCUCUCGACAGUAAGUCACCCCCUUCCAGUAUCCAGUAGUGGGUAUUCAGUUACUUACUAUUGUGUGUUGGUCGUUUACUGUGAGAAAAUUAGAGUGUUCAAAGCAGGCGUUUGCUUGAAUAGAUUAGCAUGGAAUAAUAAUUGAAGGCUUUCGUGUUCGAUUUGAUUGGUUUGUUCAUGGAAGCAAGGUUAAAAGGAACAGUUGGGGGUAUUCAUAUUCACUAGUUAGAGGUGAAAUUCUCGGAUUUAUGGAAGAUGAAC
This 434-nucleotide ribosomal RNA is filed under the name Blastocystis sp. Its description in RNAcentral is "SSU rRNA". It matches the Rfam family "Eukaryotic small subunit ribosomal RNA", at positions 496 to 940 of the family's 1831-position model. Lineage: Eukaryota; Bigyra; Opalinata; Blastocystidae. The record is from RNAcentral.